Molecule: transfer RNA, 72 nt
Filed under: Sphaerobolus stellatus SS14
Lineage: Eukaryota; Fungi; Basidiomycota; Agaricomycetes; Geastrales; Sphaerobolaceae
Description: tRNA-Ala (TGC) (tRNA-Ala-TGC-3-1, tRNA-Ala-TGC-3-2)
Rfam family: tRNA
About the family: Transfer RNA (tRNA) molecules are approximately 80 nucleotides in length. Their secondary structure includes four short double-helical elements and three loops (D, anti-codon, and T loops).
Source: RNAcentral
GUGCAUGUAGUUUAGUGGUAUAACAUUCGCUUUGCAUGAGAAAGGCUCGGUGUUCGAUCCGCCGCUUGUCCA